GGACUACUGGGGUAUCUAAUCCUGUUUGCUCCCCUUGCUCUCGCGCCUCAGCGUCAGGAAUAAGCUAGAAAACCGCUUUCGCCACAGGUGUUCUUCCACAUAUCUACGCAUUUCACCGCUACACGUGGAAUUCCGUUUUCUCCGCCAAUCCUCUAGUUAUGCAGUUUCACAUGCCGCUCCGGAAUUGAGUCCCGGAAUUUCACAUCUGACUUACAUAUCCGCCUACGCGCCCUUUACGCCCAGUAAUUCCGAUUAAUGCUUGCGCUCUCCGUAUUACCGCGGCUGCUGGCAC
RNAcentral lists this ribosomal RNA (292 nucleotides) under uncultured bacterium. RNAcentral describes it as "partial 16S ribosomal RNA". The record is from RNAcentral.